This 201-nucleotide ribosomal RNA is filed under the name Triticum aestivum (bread wheat). RNAcentral describes it as "partial small subunit ribosomal RNA". The stretch from base 1 to 137 matches the Rfam family "Bacterial large subunit ribosomal RNA", at positions 2678 to 2813 of the family's 2925-position model. Lineage: Eukaryota; Viridiplantae; Streptophyta; Magnoliopsida; Poales; Poaceae. The record is from RNAcentral.
CUAGUACGAGAGGACCAGGAAGGACGCACCUCUGGUGUACCAGUUAUUGUGCCUACGGUAAACGUUGGGUAGCCAAGUGCGGAGAGGAUAACUGCUGAAAGCAUAUAAGUAGUAAGCCCACCCCAAGAUGAGUGCUCUCUCCUCCGACUUCCCUAGAGCCUCCGGUAUCACAGCCGAGACAGCGACGGGUUCUCCACCCAU